This 5312-nucleotide long non-coding RNA is filed under the name Brassica napus (rape). Its description in RNAcentral is "long non-coding RNA (BNAP_LNC008448)". The record is from RNAcentral. Lineage: Eukaryota; Viridiplantae; Streptophyta; Magnoliopsida; Brassicales; Brassicaceae.
AUUAUAUGCACUUAGAGAUUUAUAAUGAAAUUGAUAAAUAGAAGAGUAUCAUAAGGUUUACUAUUCUUAAUACUUAAAAGGUCACUCUAGUUGAUGUAAAAAAAAGCGUCUCCAGUUUAGAACCAAGCUUAAUAUAGCACAAACAUUUAAUAACCCAUAUCUAAGCCAAAAACCAAAUAUUUAGUGAAGAACAACUUGAACUAGGUCAAGAGCAACUUCAUCUCCGGUGGUGAUCUUCUUGGCUGCUUCUUUCUCCGGCAAUCCCCAGUCAAAGAAAUAAAGCAAGUUCAAAAGUCCAAACUCAACAAUGACAAUCCCCAUCGCCAUCCCUGGACAGAUUCUCCGACCAGAACCAAACGGUGAAAGCUCAAAGUUUAGUCCCCUAUAAUCUAUUGAACUAUCUACAAACCUAUCGGGAUCAAACUCAUCAGGAUUUUUCCACACGUUCGGGUCACGUGCUAUCGCGUACGCAUUGAUCAAGAUCUGUGUCUUUUUGGGAAUAUCAUAGCCUUGGAUCUUGAUGUGAGACAUUGUCUCUCUCGGUAGCAAAAGUGGAGCUGCUGGGUGUAACCUAAAUAUCUCCUUCACCAUUAGCUUAAAGUAGUGAAGCUUGUUUAGAUCUUCUUCUGUGAGACUCUCUUUCUUGUCUCCAAGUGUUGUCCGAAUCUCAUCUUGUACUUUUUUCAUCACUCUAGAGUUUCUGAUCAACUCAGUCAUUGCCCAUAUCAUUGUUGAUGCGCUUGUGCUAACCCCUGCUAGAAAUAUAUCCUGACAUAACACAAAAUCAUGUUACACAUGAACGUCUUAAAUUGUAAUAAUAUUUAGAAUCGUUUGUACUAUUUUUUUAUAGUUUGCAAUACCAUAUACUUAUCCAGGUAAUAAUAUUUAGUUUUUUUUUAUAUUAUUACCGAUAUCAUUCCUUUGAGAUGAUCCGUGGUGAUCUUGCAAGAGUCUUGUCAUAUCAUCUUAAGUUCGACAUGGGGAGAUCAAUUGAGAAACUUUUGGUCUUUCUUACUGGCCCGUGAAUGGACUUCAGGGUGGAUUAUCAUUGACCAGCUGUCGGAAUUUUUUUUAAUGCACCCUUGUGAGUUCAUGUUGUGGCUUAGAAGCACGGACGGAGACAGUCAAAAGAGAGUGUUUUUUUGUGAUGUUUAUGGGGUCAUUCUUUCACAAAGAGGUAUGUACUACUAGCUGAUGUUUUUAUAAUUUACAAGUGAUGUUUUGAUGUAUUUGUAUUUUGCUUGCGGAGGUGAUCGGUUGAGUUAUAACGAUAGAAAAUUUAUUGAAGAGAUUAUUUUGUACAAUUUUUUAUUUAGUUGUAAGAGAUAUAACUUUAAAAUAUAUUGAUACAUCAUUAUUUUUUUCUACACUUUGUUUUAGAAAAUAAGAUUUUUACAAAAAAAAAUUUAGUUUUUGAUAUAGCUUUAAAUAUUUGACUAUUUUUCACACUGCGUAAAUCAUUAAUUGAAUUACCGUUUAAUCUUUACAUAUAUGAAUAAUGAUGACAACUUCACUAUCGAAACACUUGAAUCGAUUUACGCUUAUUCUUAUACAUUUUGACUGUUAAUAACCCUUUUAUGAUAAAAACACUUGUAAUGUUAUCUUAUGAUAUUUCCUUUUUUUUUUCCGAUGGCAUAUAACAUGAAAUAUAACCAACAUAAAGUUUUAUCUUACUAAAAGAAAUAUUUGAUAAGUUGACAAAAAAAAGAAAAGAAAUAUUUGAUAUACAAUAAAGACAUGCUUUAUUUAUGAAACACGCUCUUUUGAAGAUGGAAUCGGAACCGCUGCGAACGUAUAAAUACUAAACGCUCGAGUACUUCGUUCUACACCAAAAAGUUUAAAACUUUUCUCUCUCGCCUUCGAACCCAAUCUCAAGGUAAUUGAUUAGAGAAACUCAACGCCUAGGGUCCGAUCAAUAUAUCUCUUUUUUGUUUUUUGUUUUUUUAAUCUUAUGCUGUUUGUUUGCUAUUAGGGUUUCGUCUCGUGAUGUCUGGGCGAGAUAGAAUCAGCGAAUUGCCGGAUUGUUUGCCAACUCAAAUACUCUCAUACGUUUCGACAAAACAAUCGGUGGAGACAAGUGUUUUGUCCAAGAGAUGGGAGAAUCUGUAUCUAAGCGUUCCCGUUCUUGACUUAGACUGCUCUUCUGUUCCGUACGAUGCAGACCAAGUGUUCUUAAGCUUCAUUGACAAGCUUCUCGAGUUUAGCCCUGAGUCAAUCCUAUUUAAAGUCAAGGUUAAGUGCAGAGACACGAUGAUACGCGGGUUCAGGGAUCGGAUCGGUACAAUGAUUGACCGGGGGGCACAGCAUCUUGAUAUUGACAGCAGCAACUGUAUUUGUUAUAUAGAUGGGUUCAGAUAUUGGAUCGGUAACUAUUAUUUAGAGGAGGACAAUCUUCACUACUCUCCUUUUGACAUGAUGCCUAUGAAUCUCUUCACGAGCAAGACAUUGGUUACUUGAAGCUCACGUCUUCUGGUCUUAGGGAUCCUGCAGGUUUUGUUUACAUGCCUUGUCUUAAAUUCAUGCAUCUCGAACAAGUUGUAUGGGAUACGCAUCUGGACACGGUUAUCUCAGGGUGCCCUGUUCUUGAGGAGCUGACCUUGUUGAGGGAUCCGCAUGAUAAAUAUAAGGCUUUGCUAGUUAGGACUCAGAGCUUGAAGAGGUUUCGUCUGCUGCCGCUUAGGAACGGAUACGUCCGUUCGAGAGUGAAAUGCACGCUUGAGAUUGAUACUCCGGGGCUAGAGUAUAUGAGCCUAGGAGAUGAUCAUAUUGAUAGCAUUGUGGUAAAGAACCUGACUUCUUUGUUGGUGGUUGAGCUUGAUAUCAAGUUUGUUGCCGGGUUUGCCGUGCAUUUUGAUACUUGGAACUUGACAAAGAGAAGUGAAAUAAUCAGUGAUUUUCUCAAUGGGAUAUCGAGUGUAAGCCAUAUGAUCAUCAUCUCUGCCAAAACAGUGCAGGCCUUUGAUCAUUACUCAAAAGCAGGAAUGAUUCCAAAGUUCAACAACUUAUCCCGUUUAGAAGCAGUGUUUCAUAGCAAGUUAUUGCAGUUUCUAAUUCCAAAGUUCAACAACUUGUCCUGUUUACAAGCAGUGUUCCGUAGCUACUUGUUACAGUUUCUCCCAGCCUUUCUUGAGUGUUGCCCCAAUCUGAAACACCUACUCUUGGUAAAGCCAUCUUCUUCUUAUGUUUUUUUUUUAUGGAUAUGUGUAUUAUUGAAAACUCAGCAGGUUUUUUGUGUGUGUGUGUGUGUGUGUUUACAAAAGGUUGUUCAUUCAGGGAAGAUGGAUGAGGGAUUGAAACUCACAGAUGUGCCGCGGUGUGUGUCAUCAACUCUUGAGUGCGUUGAAAUACAAGAAAAACUUGAAUUGGAGGAAGGGAAGAUGAAAGCAACAAGUUACUUUCUUGGAAACUCAGCAGUGCUGAAGAAACUCAUUCUGAGCCCCACAGCUUAUGAUCCUCGAGAUGUUCUGGAAUCAGAGAUAUGGGAGAAGGUUAAUAAACUCAAAAAACGUUCUCCAGGAUGUGAAAUUAUCAUCCGAGCCAUGGAGGAGGAUUAACGUUAUCAUUUGAUUAAUCUUCUUCUUAGUUUUGUUUGGAUUACUUGACUAUUGCUGCUGAUGCAAGUUCCUUCAUAGUAGUCUUAGUUUUUUCAAAAAAAAAAAAGGUUCCUUCAUAGUCAGUUCUCUUUUCCUUUUUUCAAAAGUCCAAAUCUCAGUUUCUUGGGUGUCUUUUAGAUAAAAAUGAUGAUCUUGCAUUCCCUUAAGCUUGGUUUAUAUGUUUUAUACAUUUAAAUAUCCAAUAUAUUUUUAAAUACUUUUGAUAUAAAGAAAUCAAUCUUGAAUAUAUAGAAAAUCCAAAACCAAUCUUGAUAUAAAAUGACCUAAAGGGUAAAUCAACUUUUUCUUUCACUAGUGCAAGUUAAAUGUAUAUAUUAAUAUAAAAAACCUUUUUUUAUUACCAAGUGUUAAUUAUUCUAAAUUCAGUUUUAAACUUAUAUAGUUUAUUGUAAUCUUAUUGAGAAUUUAAUAAUCAGAUUUUGCAUAAAGACCUUGUUCUACGGGGUGUUAUUGGUUUACGUAUUUUAAUGGAUUUGAAAACUUAAACCAAAUUCAGUGUUAUUGGUUUUAUGAUUUUAAAACAAAUUUCAAAAUCUAGUAUUAUUCAAAAGCAAAGAUUUAUUUAAGGAUUUGAUUUGAAAUUGGAUUUUAGUGGAUUUAUGCAUGUUUUUAAAGUAAAAAUAUAAAGGAACAAAUAUUGAGUUCAACAUUGUUAUUUUGAUUGGAUUUGUAAUAUAUUUUUUCCAGUUCUUACGUUUGGACAAGUUUUCACGCUUUCUAUUUGUCAACCCCGUCAAUAUCCCAAAACCUAUGUAUUCAGUCAAUAUAUUAUUAUCAUGUUCAACAUUACCUUCUUCUCUCUGGGUAACAAAUGAAUUCUCAACUUGUUCAAUUUAUAAUCACCGGCAAUAGUUUAAAGUUUUGAUUUAUAUUCUCUUGUAUGUAAUUAACUAGCUUUGGACCUUCCUAACUAUUACCUUGUCACUUUCCAACUCUAACCAACAAAAAUUAGUAUAUUCAAACGAUUUCUCUGUCCCAAAACAUUUUUCCUCAUGAACUAGUAAGGUCAUUAUUUAGGUCUAGUUACAAUUCACCUAUUUUGAAUUAUUAAAAUACAUCAAAGUCUCGUCCCACUUAAUUGUAAUAGCCCGUUGCUUACUCGUAAUAACCCGUUGCUUACUCGAUUGGAUCCAUUUUAUUGAUCCAUUUUAUUGAUUCAAUCUAGUUACUUGCUCGAUUGAAUCCAUUUUAUUGAUAAUAACAAUUCACCUAUUUUGAUUUUGAAACUCAUAUAAAUUAUUUUUAAAUCCACUUGUUUGAUUUUUAAAAUCUUGGAUUUACCAAAGAUUUUUAAAUCUAAAGAUGAUUUGUAAAUCCAUUAAAAUACUAGAACCAAUAACCCCUACUACGUUUUCUACAAAUGUUGACUAAAAAGUUGACCUUGUCCUUCUAACUAAUUAUAAGUACUUAGAGAUUUAUAAUGAAAUUGAUAAAUAGAAGAUUAUCAUAAGGUUUACUAUUCUUUAUACUUAAAACUUAAAGGUGUCUCUAGUUCAGAAUCAAGCUUAAUAUAGCACAAACAUUUGAUAACCCAUAUCUAAGAAGUUGCCAAAAACCAAAUAUUUAGGGCAGAAUAACUUGAACGAGGUCAAGAGCAACUUCAUCUCCGGUGGUGAUCUUCUUGGCUGGUUCUUUCUCCGGCAAUCCCCAGUCGAAGAAAUAAAGCAAGUUUAAAAGUCCAAACUCAACAAUGACAAU